RNAcentral lists this unclassified non-coding RNA (226 nucleotides) under uncultured Geminibasidium. RNAcentral's name for it is "sequence contains ITS2". The record is from RNAcentral. Lineage: Eukaryota; Fungi; Basidiomycota; Geminibasidiomycetes; Geminibasidiales; Geminibasidiaceae.
ACACCUCAACCCUCCAAUGGUUUUGCAUUCAAGGUGUUGGUAGUGAGCGCUGCCGGACUUUUGGUCGGCUCGCUUUAAAAUCAUUAGCUGGAUCCAUUCUGGCCUGGUUCUACUCGGCGUAAUAAGUUAUUAUCGUCGAGGACGCUUGUCUUCCUAGGCAGGCGGCCACAGUAAGGGUGUUUGAACCGCUUCCAACACGUCUUGCUCUUGUAGCAAACACUUGAAC